This 329-nucleotide ribosomal RNA is filed under the name uncultured eukaryote. RNAcentral's name for it is "partial 18S ribosomal RNA". It matches the Rfam family "Eukaryotic small subunit ribosomal RNA", at positions 1470 to 1796 of the family's 1831-position model. The record is from RNAcentral.
CCCUUAGAUGUUCUGGGCCGCACGCGCGCUACACUGACGAUGGCAACGAGUUUUUCCUUCGCCGAAAGGUGUGGGUAAUCUUUUGAAACAUCGUCGUGCUGGGGAUAGAUCAUUGCAAUUUUUGAUCUUGAACGAGGAAUUCCUAGUAAGCGCGAGUCAUCAGCUCGCGUUGAUUACGUCCCUGCCCUUUGUACACACCGCCCGUCGCUACUACCGAUUGAAUGGUUUAGUGAGGACUCCUGAUUGGCGCCGCCGCCCCGGCAACGGAGCAGCGGACUGCCGUAAAGUUGUUCAAACUUGAUCAUUUAGAGGAAGUAAAAGUCGUAACA